UACGUAGGGUGCAAGCAUUAAUCGGAUUUAUUGGGCGUAAAGGGCGCGUAGGCGGGGGUGCCAGUCAAUUGUGAAAUCCCGGGGCUCAACCUCGGAACUGCAGUUGAAACUACAUCCCUAGAGGGUAGGCGGAGAAAACGGAAUUCCACAAGUAGCGGUGAAAUGCGUAGAUAUGUGGAAGAACACCAGUGGCGAAGGCGGUUUUCUAGCUUAUACCUGACGCUGAGGCGCGAAAGCAAGGGGAGCAAAC
RNAcentral lists this ribosomal RNA (250 nucleotides) under uncultured bacterium. Its description in RNAcentral is "partial 16S ribosomal RNA". It matches the Rfam family "Bacterial small subunit ribosomal RNA", at positions 524 to 773 of the family's 1533-position model. The record is from RNAcentral.